RNAcentral lists this ribosomal RNA (500 nucleotides) under uncultured marine bacterium. Its description in RNAcentral is "bacterial SSU rRNA". It matches the Rfam family "Bacterial small subunit ribosomal RNA", at positions 31 to 526 of the family's 1533-position model. The record is from RNAcentral.
GAACGCUGGCGGCAGGCCUAACACAUGCAAGUCGAGCGGUAACAGAAAGUAGCUUGCUACUUUGCUGACGAGCGGCGGACGGGUGAGUAAUGCUUGGGAACAUGCCUUUAGGUGGGGGACAACAGUUGGAAACGACUGCUAAUACCGCAUGAUGUCUACGGACCAAAGGGGGCUUCGGCUCUCGCCUAAAGAUUGGCCCAAGUGGGAUUAGCUAGUUGGUGAGGUAAUGGCUCACCAAGGCAACGAUCCCUAGCUGGUUUGAGAGGAUGAUCAGCCACACUGGAACUGAGACACGGUCCAGACUCCUACGGGAGGCAGCAGUGGGGAAUAUUGCACAAUGGGCGCAAGCCUGAUGCAGCCAUGCCGCGUGUGUGAAGAAGGCCUUCGGGUUGUAAAGCACUUUCAGUAAGGAGGAAAGGUUAGUAGUUAAUACCUGCUAGCUGUGACGUUACUUACAGAAGAAGCACCGGCUAACUCCGUGCCAGCAGCCGCGGUAAUAC